Molecule: ribosomal RNA, 402 nt
Filed under: uncultured bacterium
Lineage: Bacteria
Description: bacterial SSU rRNA
Rfam family: Bacterial small subunit ribosomal RNA
Source: RNAcentral
UGGGGAAUCUUGCACAAUGGGGGAAACCCUGAUGCAGCGACGCCGCGUGAACGAUGAAGCCCUUCGGGGUGUAAAGUUCUUUCGACAGGAACGAUAAUGACGGUACCUGGAGGAGAAGCUGCGGCUAACUACGUGCCAGCAGCCGCGGUAAUACGUAGGCAGCGAGCGUUGUUCGGAGUUACUGGGCGCAAAGAGUGCGUAGGCGGCGAGCCAAGUUUGGUGUGAAAUCUCCCGGCUUAACCGGGAGGGUGCGCCGAAAACUGGUUGGCUGGAGUAUGGGAGAGGAAAGCGGAAGUCCUGGUGUAGCGGUGAAAUGCGUAGAUAUCAGGAGGAACACCUGCGGUGUAGACAGCUUUCUGGACCAAAACUGACGCUGAGGCACGAAAGCGUGGGUAGCAAACA